This 376-nucleotide ribosomal RNA is filed under the name uncultured bacterium. RNAcentral describes it as "bacterial SSU rRNA". It matches the Rfam family "Bacterial small subunit ribosomal RNA", at positions 30 to 404 of the family's 1533-position model. The record is from RNAcentral.
AUUGAACGCUGGCGGCAUGCCUUACACAUGCAAGUCGAACGGCAGCACGGGGGCAACCCUGGUGGCGAGUGGCGAACGGGUGAGUAAUGCAUCGGAACGUGCCCAGUAGUGGGGGAUAACUAGUCGAAAGAUUAGCUAAUACCGCAUACGACCUAUGGGUGAAAGCGGGGGAUUCGCAAGAACCUCGCGCUAUCGGAGCGGCCGAUGUCUGAUUAGCUAGUUGGCGGGGUAAAAGCCCACCAAGGCUUCGAUCAGUAGCUGGUCUGAGAGGACGACCAGCCACACUGGGACUGAGACACGGCCCAGACUCCUACGGGAGGCAGCAGUGGGGAAUUUUGGACAAUGGGCGCAAGCCUGAUCCAGCCAUGCCGCGUGC